Molecule: long non-coding RNA, 483 nt
Organism: Bacillus rossius redtenbacheri
Lineage: Eukaryota; Metazoa; Arthropoda; Insecta; Phasmatodea; Bacillidae
Exons: 2
Source: RefSeq, a predicted model, not a curated record
UAAUUACUCUUAAAAAUAAUGUCCUCCCGUCCUAAAAAUGUCAUUAUAAUCGCACAUUAUUGUUUUAAAUAUAGUCGAGUACGAUGUAAAGCGAUGAAGUUAAACGUAAACAAUUGUUUUAGGUUAGUGUGUGCAUAUUUAACACGCGAACAUUAUUCUUAACAUGCUAUUUCUGUUUAUUAAUUGUACCAUGGGAUCAUUGUUUUCAAUGCAUAGUUUGUGUGGAAUAAUUAUGAAGUGGUUUAAAUACGAUCAAAGUUCUACACAAUGGCCUUUGCUGCCUUUCUGCUAGCUAUCGAACUGGAGGAGAAGGCAGAGAAGAUUGUUAAGAAACCAUCAAAAUCCCUUCGAAUUUCCAGAUUGCACCCUCAUAGCAGUUGGAAAACCUUAGAAAAUGAAGAAACAUGAAGAAACGAGCUAUGCAAUUUAAUAAAUACUUUGUUAUCAAGUUUGUUGCAUUUAUUAAAGAAAUUGUGAAAAUAA